AACGGUCUAUACCUGCGGUACCUGCGGAAGGAUCAUUAAUGAGAAACUGCCCCUCGCGGGUAGAUCUCCCACCCUUUGUAAACUUACCUUUGUUGCUUUGGCAGGCCCGUCUCCGGACCGCCGGCUUCGGCUGGCCAGUGCCUGCCAGAGGAUUCUAAAACUCUGUCUGUCAGUGUUGUCUGAGUCUAUAUACAAUCGUUAAAACUUUCAACAACGGAUCUCUAGAUCGGAAGAGCACAC
This 240-nucleotide unclassified non-coding RNA is filed under the name soil metagenome. RNAcentral describes it as "partial contains 5.8S ribosomal RNA, internal transcribed spacer 2, and large subunit ribosomal RNA". The record is from RNAcentral.